Equus asinus (donkey) is the source of this 113-nucleotide microRNA precursor. The record is from Ensembl. Lineage: Eukaryota; Metazoa; Chordata; Mammalia; Perissodactyla; Equidae.
GGGCGCCAAGGCUGAGCUGCCUUCCUCCUGGAUCCACUCCGUCCACCUGGAAGAGUCUGUCAUGCUUCCUCCUGGGCAGGAACUGGGAUUCGAGCAGGCGGUUGUGAAUGGUG